RNAcentral lists this ribosomal RNA (434 nucleotides) under uncultured Ruminococcus sp. RNAcentral describes it as "partial 16S ribosomal RNA". It matches the Rfam family "Bacterial small subunit ribosomal RNA", at positions 341 to 792 of the family's 1533-position model. Lineage: Bacteria; Bacillati; Bacillota; Clostridia; Eubacteriales; Oscillospiraceae. The record is from RNAcentral.
ACGGAAGGCAGCAGUGGGGAAUAUUGCACAAUGGGCGCAAGCCUGAUGCAGCGAUGCCGCGUGAGGGUAGAAGGUUUUCGGAUUGUAAACCUCUGUCAUCGGGGACGAUAAUGACUGUACCCGAGAAGGAAGCUCCGGCUAACUACGUGCCAGCAGCCGCGGUAAUACAUAGGGAGCGAGCGUUAUCCGGAAUUACUGGGUGUAAAGGGAGUGUAGGCGGGACUGUAAGUCAGAUGUGAAAUAUACCGGCUCAACUGGUAGACUGCAUUUGAAACUGCGGUUCUUGAGUGAAGUAGAGGUAAGCGGAAUUCCUAGUGUAGCGGUGAAAUGCGUAGAUAUUAGGAGGAACAUCAGUGGCGAAGGCGGCUUACUGGGCUUUAACUGACGCUGAGGCUCGAAAGCGUGGGGAGCAAACAGGAUUAGAUACCCUGGUA